Molecule: ribosomal RNA, 587 nt
Filed under: uncultured bacterium
Lineage: Bacteria
Description: partial 16S ribosomal RNA
Rfam family: Bacterial small subunit ribosomal RNA
Source: RNAcentral
UGGGGAAUAUUGGACAAUGGGCGCAAGCCUGAUCCAGCAAUGCCGCGUGUGUGAAGAAGGCCUUCGGGUUGUAAAGCACUUUUAUCAGGAGCGAAACGCUGUCGGCUAAUACCCGGCGGAACUGACGGUACCUGAGGAAUAAGCACCGGCUAACUUCGUGCCAGCAGCCGCGGUAAUACGAAGGGUGCAAGCGUUAAUCGGAAUUACUGGGCGUAAAGCGUGCGUAGGCGGUUUCUUAAGUCUGCUGUGAAAUCCCCGGGCUCAACCUGGGAAUGGCAGUGGAUACUGGGAGGCUAGAGUGUGUCAGAGGGUGGUGGAAUUCCCGGUGUAGCGGUGAAAUGCGUAGAGAUCGGGAGGAACAUCAGUGGCGAAGGCGGCCACCUGGGACAACACUGACGCUGAGGCACGAAAGCGUGGGGAGCAAACAGGAUUAGAUACCCUGGUAGUCCACGCCCUAAACGAUGCGAACUGGAUGUUGGUCUCAACUCGGAGAUCAGUGUCGAAGCUAACGCGUUAAGUUCGCCGCCUGGGGAGUACGGUCGCAAGACUGGAAACUUAAAUGAAUUGACGGGGUCAUAGCUGUUUCC